RNAcentral lists this transfer RNA (81 nucleotides) under Arthrobacter caoxuetaonis. RNAcentral's name for it is "Arthrobacter sp. zg-Y453 tRNA-Leu". It matches the Rfam family "tRNA". From Rfam's summary of the family: Transfer RNA (tRNA) molecules are approximately 80 nucleotides in length. Lineage: Bacteria; Bacillati; Actinomycetota; Actinomycetes; Micrococcales; Micrococcaceae. The record is from RNAcentral.
GCCUGUCUGGCGGAAUGGCAGACGCGCCGGGUUUAGGUUCCGGUGUCUUAGGACGUCCGGGUUCAAGUCCCGGGACAGGUA